RNAcentral lists this ribosomal RNA (1375 nucleotides) under Hirtitermes hirtiventris. Its description in RNAcentral is "16S ribosomal RNA". The stretch from base 891 to 1256 matches the Rfam family "Bacterial large subunit ribosomal RNA", at positions 2074 to 2646 of the family's 2925-position model. The record is from RNAcentral. Lineage: Eukaryota; Metazoa; Arthropoda; Insecta; Blattodea; Termitidae.
CAAUUCGAUAUGGUCUGAUUUUGUUGAUAGUCUUGUUAUCUAUUUUUGUUUUUAUUAUUUUUUAUUAAAGAAUUCUUUUGUUAUUGUAAUGUUUUGAUUUAAUUUUUUUACUAUAGGUUAUUUGUACUGUAAGGGGUUUGUGAUAUUUGGUGUUUUUGGAAGUUGAUUUUGUUUAUCGUACCUUGUGUAUCAGGGUUCAUUGAAUUUUAUUAUUUAUUUUUAUUUCCCGAUUUUAAAGGAGUUAAUUACUUGUGUUAGUUACUGUUUCAUUAGUAUUAAUAAUAGGUAAUUGGUAGUGAAAUGUUAUUCGUCUUUAGUGGUUUCUGGUUUUUCAAGAAAUGAAUUUAAUUCAUACAUCUUAUUUAAUUUUUGUAUUGGUUUCUUUAUAUUUUAUUUGAUGUCAAGAUUGAGGGGGAUUAGCUCUUUAUUUUAUUUUUAAAAUUUGUUGAUUAUAUUUAGUUUUGUGGAUUUUAUGGUGAUUUUCUAUUUGAUUAUGUUAAAAUUUUAUUUGUUCUUUUUUUUAUUUAUUGGUAUUUAAAUUGUUUAUUGAAAUGUAUUCUUUAUUUUAGUUUGUGUAGUAAUUAUUGUGUAAUUAGUAAAUUUUGUUUGUUUUAUAUUAUUUGGUGGAUUUGGGUGUUAAUUGCUUUUUAGGAAUUCGGCAAAUAUUUAUGUCCGCCUGUUUAACAAAAACAUCUCUUCUUGUUAGUUUUUGAAGUAUGGCCUGCCCACUGACGAGUUGUUGAAGGGCCGCGGUAUUUUGACCGUGCAAAGGUAGCAUAAUCAUUAGUUCUUUAAUUGUGAUCUGGUAUGAAUGGCUUGACGAGACAUUAGCUGUCUUGGAGGUAUUGUUUAUUGAAUUUGGUUUUUGAGUUAAAAUUCUUAAAUGUUUUUAUGGGACGAGAAGACCCUAUAGAGUUUAACAGGUUUCUUAUUUUUUGUUAGUUUGUUUAUUUUUGUAUAGUGGGUUAUACUGUUUUGUUGGGGUGAUGAGAGGAAAAUGUUUAACUCUUCUUUAUUUUUAUAUAUUUGUAUAUAUUUUUUUGAUCCAUUUAUUUUGAUUAUAAGAUUAAAUUACCUUAGGGAUAACAGCGUUAUCUUCCUUGAGAGUUCUUAUUGGCGGGAGGGUUUGCGACCUCGAUGUUGGAUUAAGGUUAAUUUUCGGUGCAGGAGCUGGAAUAGGUUAGGUCUGUUCGACCUUUAAAAUCUUACAUGAUCUGAGUUCAGACCGGCGUGAGCCAGGUUGGUUUCUAUCUAUAGAAUUUAUUUAUACCUUAGUACGAGAGGACCGGGUAUUUGGAAUAAUUUCAUUUGUUAUAUUGAUUUUUAUUAAUGUGUGCUAUUUUGGCAGAUAAGUGCAUUGGAUUUAGAAUCUAUU